AGCGUACACGGUGGAUGCCCUGGCAGUCAGAGGCGAUGAAGGACGUGCUAAUCUGCGAUAAGCGUCGGUAAGGUGAUAUGAACCGUUAUAACCGGCGAUUUCCGAAUGGGGAAACCCAGUGUGAUUCGUCACACUAUCAUUAACUGAAUCCAUAGGUUAAUGAGGCGAACCGGGGGAACUGAAACAUCUAAGUACCCCGAGGAAAAGAAAUCAACCGAGAUUCCCCCAGUAGCGGCGAGCGAACGGGGAGCAGCCCAGAGCCUGAAUCAGUGUGUGUGUUAGUGGAAGCGUCUGGAAAGGCGCGCGAUACAGGGUGACAGCCCCGUACACAAAAAUGCACAUGCUGUGAGCUCGAUGAGUAGGGCGGGACACGUGGUAUCCUGUCUGAAUAUGGGGGGACCAUCCUCCAAGGCUAAAUACUCCUGACUGACCGAUAGUGAACCAGUACCGUGAGGGAAAGGCGAAAAGAACCCCGGCGAGGGGAGUGAAAAAGAACCUGAAACCGUGUACGUACAAGCAGUGGGAGCACGCUUAGGCGUGUGACUGCGUACCUUUUGUAUAAUGGGUCAGCGACUUAUAUUCUGUAGCAAGGUUAACCGAAUAGGGGAGCCGAAGGGAAACCGAGUCUUAACUGGGCGUUAAGUUGCAGGGUAUAGACCCGAAACCCGGUGAUCUAGCCAUGGGCAGGUUGAAGGUUGGGGUAACACUAACUGGAGGACCGAACCGACUAAUGUUGAAAAAUUAGCGGAUGACUUGUGGCUGGGGGUGAAAGGCCAAUCAAACCGGGAGAUAGCUGGUUCUCCCCGAAAGCUAUUUAGGUAGCGCCUCGUGAAUUCAUCUCCGGGGGUAGAGCACUGUUUCGGCAAGGGGGUCAUCCCGACUUACCAACCCGAUGCAAACUGCGAAUACCGGAGAAUGUUAUCACGGGAGACACACGGCGGGUGCUAACGUCCGUCGUGAAGAGGGAAACAACCCAGACCGCCAGCUAAGGUCCCAAAGUCAUGGUUAAGUGGGAAACGAUGUGGGAAGGCCCAGACAGCCAGGAUGUUGGCUUAGAAGCAGCCAUCAUUUAAAGAAAGCGUAAUAGCUCACUGGUCGAGUCGGCCUGCGCGGAAGAUGUAACGGGGCUAAACCAUGCACCGAAGCUGCGGCAGCGACGCUGAUGCGUUGUUGGGUAGGGGAGCGUUCUGUAAGCCUGUGAAGGUGUACUGUGAGGUAUGCUGGAGGUAUCAGAAGUGCGAAUGCUGACAUAAGUAACGAUAAAGCGGGUGAAAAGCCCGCUCGCCGGAAGACCAAGGGUUCCUGUCCAACGUUAAUCGGGGCAGGGUGAGUCGACCCCUAAGGCGAGGCCGAAGGCGUAGUCGAUGGGAAACAGGUUAAUAUUCCUGUACUUGGUGUUACUGCGAAGGGGGACGGAGAAGGCUAUGUUGGCCGGGCGACGGUUGUCCCGGUUUAAGCGUGUAGGCUGGUUUUCCAGGCAAAUCCGGAAAAUCAAGGCUGAGGCGUGAUGACGAGGCACUACGGUGCUGAAGCAACAAAUGCCCUGCUUCCAGGAAAAGCCUCUAAGCAUCAGGUAACAUCAAAUCGUACCCCAAACCGACACAGGUGGUCAGGUAGAGAAUACCAAGGCGCUUGAGAGAACUCGGGUGAAGGAACUAGGCAAAAUGGUGCCGUAACUUCGGGAGAAGGCACGCUGAUAUGUAGGUGAAGUCCCUCGCGGAUGGAGCUGAAAUCAGUCGAAGAUACCAGCUGGCUGCAACUGUUUAUUAAAAACACAGCACUGUGCAAACACGAAAGUGGACGUAUACGGUGUGACGCCUGCCCGGUGCCGGAAGGUUAAUUGAUGGGGUCAGCGCAAGCGAAGCUCUUGAUCGAAGCCCCGGUAAACGGCGGCCGUAACUAUAACGGUCCUAAGGUAGCGAAAUUCCUUGUCGGGUAAGUUCCGACCUGCACGAAUGGCGUAAUGAUGG
Molecule: ribosomal RNA, 1970 nt
Filed under: Escherichia coli STEC_O31
Lineage: Bacteria; Pseudomonadati; Pseudomonadota; Gammaproteobacteria; Enterobacterales; Enterobacteriaceae
Description: bacterial LSU rRNA
Rfam family: Bacterial large subunit ribosomal RNA
Source: RNAcentral